CUUACCGAUUCUUCCCCCAACUUCUUCCCCGAUUCAUUUCGUCCCGAGCCUCACCAGCUACCGGCGAUCUUCCUAUUCUCCUCUCGGCAUCGCCGGCACAAAGAAACCCCCAGAGCUUUGAGGAAGCAAGCCACCAAUUCUUCUUCCUCUCCUCUCAUUUUCCUCUCUCUCGACUUCUCUCACGCAGGCGACCCGACGUCGACAGAGGGCGAGUUUUUCCCCGGCGAUCCCAUUCUCUCCGCAUCCCCGGUGGUAUGUCGCCGGAUCUCGACAGUACCGGCCAUCUUCACCUGAGAGGUCGUCUUCUCGGUGGUUUCUUGCUUGCGAUCGGCUGUUGUUCGGUGUCUAGGGCACGGCGGUGAGGGGUCGAUUCUCAUCAUUCCCGGCUGAUCGAGUCCUGUCUGAUUCCCUUCCUCAAUCGGUUCUCUGGAGUGCAUUCCGGAUCUCCACCAGAUGAGAUUGAUCGCGUGAUACCAACUAGAGGCGAUCGGUUGAGGGGAAAGCUUCGGAUCAACCUAGUGAUGGACCUCCCGUGAGCAGAUCUUCAUCUUCUUCAAUUCUUGCAACUGUUAAGGUUCCGGUGUAGAGGAGGAGACCUGUUUGAGGGCUUCUUGGAUAGCUUCCGGCAGAGGUCUUGUUGGGCUGUGAGAUUUGGAUUUUGCUACCAAACCUUAAGGUGUUGAUUUUGGGCAUCUAUUUGUGUUGGACCAGCUGUAAAUGGGUGGAGAAGCUCCAUUUUUCUCCACAGCAAACUUUGGAUUUCUUCAUCAAAGGGUGUGGAUUUUGUUUUGGAUCAAGGUGAGCUAACUAUGGAGUUUUGGUUGCAUUUAUGUGAUAUAUUGAUUUGGUUGAAUCUUGGAUUGAUUGGGGGAUUUAGAAGGAUUUAUGAAGAGUUUGGAUUAUGUUUGGAUUUAGGAGAAGUUGGAUUGAGGAUUAAUUGGAAGAUUAAUCAGAUAUUAGAUCUGGUUGGAGUGAACCUAAUUGGAUUAAGGGAUUAGGUUAAUUAUUUCGAUUGGGGUUUUUCCUAAUUAGAUUGGGGAGUUUAUUUAGUUAUUUGCUACCUAUGUAAUUAGCUAAAUAUAUUAGGUGA
Long non-coding RNA from Zingiber officinale, 1090 nucleotides. RefSeq lists it as uncharacterized. Lineage: Eukaryota; Viridiplantae; Streptophyta; Magnoliopsida; Zingiberales; Zingiberaceae. The transcript is spliced from 4 exons. The record is from RefSeq and is a predicted model, not a curated record.